Molecule: ribosomal RNA, 557 nt
Filed under: Staphylococcus aureus
Lineage: Bacteria; Bacillati; Bacillota; Bacilli; Caryophanales; Staphylococcaceae
Description: bacterial SSU rRNA
Rfam family: Bacterial small subunit ribosomal RNA
Source: RNAcentral
UCCUGGCUCAGGAUGAACGCUGGCGGCGUGCCUAAUACAUGCAAGUCGAGCGAACGGACGAGAAGCUUGCUUCUCUGAUGUUAGCGGCGGACGGGUGAGUAACACGUGGAUAACCUACCUAUAAGACUGGGAUAACUUCGGGAAACCGGAGCUAAUACCGGAUAAUAUUUUGAACCGCAUGGUUCAAAAGUGAAAGACGGUCUUGCUGUCACUUAUAGAUGGAUCCGCGCUGCAUUAGCUAGUUGGUAAGGUAACGGCUUACCAAGGCAACGAUGCAUAGCCGACCUGAGAGGGUGAUCGGCCACACUGGAACUGAGACACGGUCCAGACUCCUACGGGAGGCAGCAGUAGGGAAUCUUCCGCAAUGGGCGAAAGCCUGACGGAGCAACGCCGCGUGAGUGAUGAAGGUCUUCGGAUCGUAAAACUCUGUUAUUAGGGAAGAACAUAUGUGUAAGUAACUGUGCACAUCUUGACGGUACCUAAUCAGAAAGCCACGGCUAACUACGUGCCAGCAGCCGCGGUAAUACGUAGGUGGCAAGCGUUAUCCGGAAUUAUUG